RNAcentral lists this ribosomal RNA (253 nucleotides) under uncultured bacterium. Its description in RNAcentral is "partial 16S ribosomal RNA". It matches the Rfam family "Bacterial small subunit ribosomal RNA", at positions 524 to 776 of the family's 1533-position model. The record is from RNAcentral.
UACGGAGGGUGCGAGCGUUGUCCGGAAUCACUGGGCGUAAAGGGUGCGUAGGCGGUUUGAUAAGUCACGUGUGAAAUCCCGGUGCUCAACGCCGGGGCUGCAUGUGAGACUGUCAGACUAGAGCUCGGUAGAGGCAAGUGGAAUUCCCGGUGUAGCGGUGGAAUGCGUAGAUAUCGGGAAGAACACCGGUGGCGAAGGCGGCUUGCUGGGCCGAUGCUGACGCUGAGGCACGAAAGCGUGGGGAGCAAACAGG